Molecule: transfer RNA, 41 nt
Filed under: Spermatophyta environmental sample
Lineage: Eukaryota; Viridiplantae; Streptophyta
Description: partial tRNA-Leu
Source: RNAcentral
AAAAUCCGUCUACUUUAUAAGUCGUGAGGGUUCAAGUCCCU